Bos taurus (domestic cattle) is the source of this 1460-nucleotide long non-coding RNA. The record is from Ensembl. NCBI's taxonomy places the organism in Eukaryota, Metazoa, Chordata, Mammalia, Artiodactyla, Bovidae.
CCCAGCCCCCGUUUAGGGUGGAGCCCAGGGGCGGAGCUGCGCUCUCAGGCUGCCCUCUUGCCCGGUCCCCGGUGCCGCCCAUCCCGCAGGCCCUGUGCCUGCCGCCCAGUGAGAGUGCGGGCAGCCCUAGUGGGCAGAGCCCUGUAGGGUUAAACUGCCCCUCACAGGAGGGAAGCGGACCCCGGGGCCGGGGCACGGCCUCAGCCCUCAGCCCAGAGACAACCACUGGCCCUCGGAGGCAGCUCUGCCGGCUGCACCACCGCACCUGCUCCCACGCUUUGCUGGAAUCUUCUUGGAGUCCCAUCGACCCCUGGGGCCCUGCCGGGGUGCGGGCUCCCUGAACUCCGCCCCUGCCCCCCAAGCCCUGCUGUGUCCGAAGCACCAUGGGAGAGAACGUGAAUGUGCCAGCGAGGCCUCUCCAGCAGCUCGCCAGAAAGUCCUGGGAGGGUUCUGAGCGCACGUCUGCACGUCUGCCCUUCUGCCCAUCCACCAUGAUGGGUCAGACCAGGCUGGGGAAGGGCCUAUGGACAGGCAGCCCCAAAGUGCCUGGCCAUUGCGGCACCCCUGGCAGCCACAUGGCCAAAGACCCUGGGCUGGCUGGGGCUGGGUGCCGGGAGCCGGCGAGAGACAUUCCACUCGUGACAAAGGUCAUGAGGAAGGAGGCUCGGCAUACGCAAAGGCGGGAUCGAGCCUCAGGAAUCCCCCUGGAUAUUCUCGAGCAUCUACCCCCAAAAAACCAGAGUCUGCCUACUUUAUUGCUUUGUGCUCUCACCUCUGACUUUACUGGGGGCUGUCCCCCACCACCAUCUCGCUCUCUCUGUCAAAGAGUUAACUUACAGCUCCAAUUCAUCAAGUUCCUGGGCAAUUAGGAGUGUUUAAAUCCAAACCCCUCAGAUGGCUCUCUAACUCGCCUGACAAGUUUACCCGGACUCCUGCAGCUGUGCGUAGGAUUGUUUAUAGUCUCCCAGCCUCGAGAGGCACGGGAAGCUUAAGAUAUUCAAAUAGCUUAGAGCCUCUCAGAGAGUUAGAAACUGUCAGAAUAAAACUAGUAAAAGAUUUCAUUGAUGAGCCAAUGCUUGUUGCCAAGUUUUCACAUCCCCUGUAUUGUAUCCUUGAAUAUGUAUUAAUUAAUAGUUGGUAUGUAGAAAAAAUAAGUAGUGGCCUUGGUGUUAGUAACUUUAGACCCUUAAGGUAAUAAAUUCUUUCCUGUGUUGUAAACCCAUUACACAUCCGCCCUAUAGGAAUGCAAUUUUAUCUUCGGAAGAUGGCGCCAAACCUUAAUUACGCUUAGAGAAAAUAAGUCUUACGGUUGAUAAGUCUUUGUCAAGAGUCAUAAAAUGUUAAUAGGCCUUCUGGCCAGCAGAUGAUGUAAAUCACCUAAACCAUUUGUAUACGAUAAAUUUGCAGGAAAGAAACCCUGGUUUUUGAUAAGGAUCAAAGACUGCUGACUUUGCAUCCCC